CACAAACCAUUCUGUGCUGCUACAGUACCGACAGGCCCCGCACAGAGCGCGCGCACACGCACUCACGCGAGGCGCGCGCCCACACAGCCGCACAUACACGGUCCUCGUUUCGCAAUCUGAAAACACAGGACCAACAAAAAUACAAUGAGUAAUAAGCGUCGAUAUGGCUACAGUUUGUACUUGUGAUGUCAAAAUGAUAUCGACAAAAAAAAAAAGAUUCAUGCUUGCUCAUAACAUUAGAAGCAAAAAAACAAAGACAGGAAUAAAAUGCCACGCUGCAACUAAACCUGAGACUUCAUCAGGCUUUGUGGGCUGUUAUUUCUCACAUUUGGUUUUGCAAUGCACGUGCAGCAGGACAUCAUUAAGAUAAUCAUGUAUGGAAAAAGUGUGCAAGUGCAAUCUAUUUUAAAACGUUUUAGGGGUCAAGUGGAGAUAUUUCUUUUGUUUUUGUUUUAAAUGGGAAUCUUAAAAAAAUGCAGCUGCCAAUGUCUAAGUUCAAGGUCAAAUGCAUUGUUUUCCACGUCUAAAAGUGUUAGAUCAUGAAAAGCUGGGUUUGACAAAUGCAUAAAUUAAAUGAGCAUCUGUUUUUAAAGAUAUCAAACUUUUAUUUUCAGAAAUGUUAAAUAAAUGUAACAUUCCUGCUUCUUACACUCAGUAUUGUUUUAAACUUUCUUCUAUUUUUAACAGCACAUUUCUAUUCUACAGUGAUGAGUGGAUUUUUCUGGAGAAGAACCCUGCACAAAAUCUAUUAGCAUACUCUUUACUCUCUGGUCAGUUGUGGUAAUACGGUGCCUGUUCUGAGAAAAACAUGAUAUUCACAGAGUUCUUACAAAACUUGCCUGCUUCUCACUGAUGAAAUCACCAUUACCAGGUUUCUGUUCCAUUCAGUAUACACUCAUGUGGUUUUGUACCAGGUGAGCCAACGAUGACAAAAAAAAAAAACUUUUGGUGUAACAAGCAAGAGGACAAUGAAGCAUCUGCUGUCUAUAAGGCUAAAAUUACAGGUUAUGAAAAGCGCCCCAUGGACUUUUGGGGGAAAAAAAUAAAAGUGUUCUCUGACAAAAGCUUGUAACCUCCCACAUUAUAAUAUUUACUUGUGUUGUUUGUUCUGUCUGUAUGCCUUUCACUUUAUUGUUGUUUUUCCCUUGCUAGGCACUCCAUGAGGAUAUAAACAAUUGAGUUUUUCUAUAUAUUUUCUUUUAUAAUUAUCAGAUAUAAUAAUCAGCAUGUUUCUUACACUGGGUUUUUUACAACCAAUAAUAUAGAUAAAAGUUCAGUCGGUGGUGUACUUACAGUUACUCGACUUUGUCACAGCUCAGUGUCAUGCCGUGUGCUCUACAUUCCUUUCCUGGAGAAAACAAAAAUAAAGGGAUAAUUAUGAAGCACAAA
This is a long non-coding RNA of Ctenopharyngodon idella (grass carp), 1389 nucleotides long. RefSeq lists it as uncharacterized. NCBI's taxonomy places the organism in Eukaryota, Metazoa, Chordata, Actinopteri, Cypriniformes, Xenocyprididae. The record is from RefSeq and is a predicted model, not a curated record. The transcript has 2 exons.